CGCCUCUUGCAGAAUAUAAGAGGUCCCGCCUGCCCAGUGAAUAUGUUCAACGGCCGCGGUACCCUGACCGUGCGAAGGUAGCGUAAUCAUUUGCCCCCUAAUUAGAGGCUAGUAUGAACGGCUACACGAGGGCUAAACUGUCUCCUUUUUUUGAUCAGUGAAACUAAUCUCCCCGUGAAGAAGCGGGGGUGUGCCUAUAAGACGAGAAGACCCUAUGGAGCUUAAAACAAAGCAACAACUGCAGGCCCCACCCCCUAAACCCUAAGGGCAGCUCACUGAUUGCUAGUUUUGGGUUGGGGCAACCACGGAGUAAAAUUUAACCUCCGUGCUGAAAAAGACACGACCCUAAGCAAAAACCUACAACUUUAUGCAUCAACAAAUUGACAACAUUGACCCAAUAAUUUGAGCAACGAAACAAGUUACCCUAGGGAUAACAGCGCUAUCUACUUCGGGAGCACAUAUCUACAAGUAGGCUUACGACCUCGAUGUUGGAUCAGGGUAUCCUAGUGGUGUAGCAGCUACUUAAGGUUCGUUUGUUCAACGAUUAAAACCCU
RNAcentral lists this ribosomal RNA (554 nucleotides) under Gastrotheca pulchra. RNAcentral's name for it is "partial large subunit ribosomal RNA". It matches the Rfam family "Bacterial large subunit ribosomal RNA", at positions 1817 to 2597 of the family's 2925-position model. Lineage: Eukaryota; Metazoa; Chordata; Amphibia; Anura; Hemiphractidae. The record is from RNAcentral.